This 301-nucleotide ribosomal RNA is filed under the name uncultured bacterium. RNAcentral's name for it is "partial 16S ribosomal RNA". It matches the Rfam family "Bacterial small subunit ribosomal RNA", at positions 509 to 807 of the family's 1533-position model. The record is from RNAcentral.
CAGUCGCCGCGGUAAUACGAAGGGUGCAAGCGUUAAUCGGAAUUACUGGGCGUAAAGCGUGCGUAGGCGGUUUGUUAAGUCUGUUGUGAAAUCCCCGGGCUCAACCUGGGAAUGGCAAUGGAUACUGGCAAGCUAGAGUGUGUCAGAGGAUGGUGGAAUUCUCGGUGUAGCGGUGAAAUGCGUAGAGAUCGGGAGGAACAUCAGUGGCGAAGGCGGCCAUCUGGGACAACACUGACGCUGAGGCACGAAAGCGUGGGGAGCAAACAGGAUUAGAUACCCGCGUAGUCCCUGUCUCUUAUAC